Molecule: transfer RNA, 72 nt
Filed under: Ochotona coreana
Lineage: Eukaryota; Metazoa; Chordata; Mammalia; Lagomorpha; Ochotonidae
Description: tRNA-Gln
Rfam family: tRNA
About the family: Transfer RNA (tRNA) molecules are approximately 80 nucleotides in length.
Source: RNAcentral
UAGAGUGUGGUGUAGUUGGUAGCACGGAGAAUUUUGAGUUCUCAGGGAUGGGUUCGAGGCCCAGGGCUCUAG